ACGGCAGGUUAGUGGUAGAAAGUACGGAUGUUGUGAAAUUAGUGCAGUAAAAGGAUAAAUAUGUAUUGCCCUUUCUGUGGAAUACAGAAUGACGUGCUUCCAAAGUUCUGCGGUUCAUGCAGAAAAAAUCUCGAGGUAUUAAAAGAGACACGACAGAAAACGCCCGUGUCAACGAACAUUACAGGGACAGGCGUGGGCUCAACACCUGCGCCCACUUUAAACCAGUUUUUGGAAUACCGAAAACAGAAAUGUAAGGAAAGAACAAACUUUUCUUUGGGCAAGAAAGGAGGAAGCAAACAUGAACAGAAGAAAGUACAGGUUAAUGUCGGUAUAAUGUCUCCGCAGAGUGGUUACUUAAAACCACAACGAGGGAAAACACUCCCCUUAUUCACUGACCCACAAAUAAUGGCAAAAGAUCUCCUUGUA
Sinocyclocheilus grahami is the source of this 426-nucleotide long non-coding RNA. RefSeq lists it as uncharacterized. The record is from RefSeq and is a predicted model, not a curated record. NCBI's taxonomy places the organism in Eukaryota, Metazoa, Chordata, Actinopteri, Cypriniformes, Cyprinidae. The transcript has 3 exons.